UCCGAUAUGGUGUAGUGGCCAACAUGAUGCCCUCUCAUUCAUGAGAGGUUAGGCAUAGCCCCGAGUUCGAUUCUCGGUUUCGGAA
RNAcentral lists this transfer RNA (85 nucleotides) under Colletotrichum orchidophilum. It matches the Rfam family "tRNA". From Rfam's summary of the family: Transfer RNA (tRNA) molecules are approximately 80 nucleotides in length. Their secondary structure includes four short double-helical elements and three loops (D, anti-codon, and T loops). Further hydrogen bonds mediate the characteristic L-shaped molecular structure. tRNAs have two regions of fundamental functional importance: the anti-codon, which is responsible for specific mRNA codon recognition, and the 3' end, to which the tRNAs corresponding amino acid is attached (by aminoacyl-tRNA synthetases). tRNAs cope with the degeneracy of the genetic code in two manners: having more than one tRNA (with a specific anti-codon) for a particular amino acid; and 'wobble' base-pairing, i.e. permitting non-standard base-pairing at the 3rd anti-codon position. The record is from Rfam by way of RNAcentral. Lineage: Eukaryota; Fungi; Ascomycota; Sordariomycetes; Glomerellales; Glomerellaceae.